AAGAAAAUUCGAGGGAAAGAAGUUUACAUGACUAUGGCUUACGGCAAGGGAGACCCCCUCCUCCCACCCAGGCUGCAGCACAGUAUGCAUUAUGGGCACGAUCCUCCAAUGCACUACUCACAGACAGCUGGCAAUGUUAUGUCUAAUGAACAUUUUCAUCCUCAGCAUCCAUCUCCGAGACAAGGUCGGGGAUAUGGGAUGCCCAGGAAUUCAUCUCGGUUUAUAAACAGGCACAACAUGCCGGGCCCUAAAGUUGAUUUUUACCCAGGCCCAGGUAAAAGGUGCUGCCAGAGCUAUGAUAACUUCUCUUAUAGAUCUCGUUCAUUUAGACGUAGUCACCGCCAGAUGAGUUGUGUGAAUAAGGAGUCCCAGUAUGGAUUUACCCCAGGGAAUGGACAGAUGCCCAGGGGCUUGGAAGAAACUAUUACUUUUUAUGAAGUUGAAGAAGGGGAUGAGACUGCUUAUCCAACUUUACCUAAUCAUGGAGGUCCCUCUACAAUGGUUCCUGCUACUUCAGGAUACUGUGUUGGAAGGCGGGGACAUAGCUCAGGCAAACAGACUUUGAAUUUAGAGGAGGGCAAUGGCCAGAGUGAAAAUGGGCGAUAUCAUGAAGAAUAUCUUUAUCGUGCAGAGCCAGACUAUGAAACUUCAGGUGUUUAUAGCACAACUGCAUCUACAGCAAACUUGUCUCUUCAGGACAGAAAGUCAUGUUCUAUGUCUCCUCAGGACACAGUUACCUCAUACAACUACCCCCAGAAGAUGAUGGGAAAUAUUGCAGCAGUUGCAGCUUCCUGUGCCAAUAAUGUUCCAGCUCCAGUCUUAUCUAACGGUGCAGCGGCUAAUCAAGCUAUUAGUACCACUUCAGUUUCCUCACAGAAUGCUAUACAGCCUCUCUUUGUAUCUCCACCUACACACGGCAGGCCAGUGAUUGCCUCACCAUCCUAUCCAUGCCAUUCUGCUAUUCCUCAUGCUGGUGCCUCUCUACCACCACCACCACCACCACCACCACCACCACCACCACCACCACCUCCUCCUCCUCCUCCUCCUCCUCCUCCUCCUCCUCCUGCUCUUGAUGUGGGAGAGACUUCAAACUUACAACCACCACCACCACUACCACCUCCACCUUAUUCCUGUGAUCCAAGCGGCAGUGAUUUGCCUCAAGAUACAAAAGUUUUGCAGUACUAUUUCAAUCUAGGAUUGCAGUGCUAUUACCACAGCUACUGGCACUCCAUGGUCUAUGUGCCACAGAUGCAGCAGCAGCUUCAUGUAGAGAAUUAUCCAGUCUAUACUGAGCCACCUCUGGUAGAUCAAACCGUUCCUCAAUGCUACAGUGAGGUGAGGAGAGAAGAUGGCAUACAGGCGGAAGCAUCAGCAAAUGAUACUUUUCCGAAUGCUGAUUCUUCAUCUGUCCCUCAUGGAGCAGUCUAUUAUCCAGUAAUGUCAGAUCCCUAUGGGCAGCCACCUUUGCCAGGUUUUGACUCCUGCCUUCCGGUUGUGCCAGAUUAUUCCUGUGUUCCCCCCUGGCAUCCAGUUGGUACAGCAUAUGGUGGUUCUUCUCAAAUUCAUGGUGCUAUAAAUCCUGGGCCAAUUGGCUGUAUUGCUCCAUCUCCCCCAGCUUCUCAUUAUGUACCUCAGGGUAUGUAAGAUCCAGCAGUAUGAAGUAUUCUUGCACUGCCAUUUUCUUGCUGUUUUUGUUUUUAAAAAGUAUUUUAUGUUAGUGGUUAAAUGAUUUAGGUGAUUAGUGUUUACUAUUGUAUUUGUCUUUAAAAUUAUUUUAUCUUUUGAUUUAAAAUAGUACUUUAAAAUUAAGGGGUAUUAUUUUGGGCUGUGACUAAGGAAAUUGAGAUGGAUGUACAACUAGCCCCAUAUUGAGCAUACUUCAUUGUAUUCAGCUGUUUUCCUGUCAGCCAUU
Molecule: long non-coding RNA, 1912 nt
Filed under: Homo sapiens (human)
Lineage: Eukaryota; Metazoa; Chordata; Mammalia; Primates; Hominidae
Description: long non-coding RNA NONHSAT138193.2
Source: RNAcentral